This 490-nucleotide ribosomal RNA is filed under the name uncultured bacterium. RNAcentral describes it as "partial 16S ribosomal RNA". It matches the Rfam family "Bacterial small subunit ribosomal RNA", at positions 28 to 507 of the family's 1533-position model. The record is from RNAcentral.
GAUGAACGCUAGCGAUAGGCUUAACACAUGCAAGUCGAGGGGCAGCAUGGUCUUAGCUUGCUAAGACUGAUGGCGACCGGCGCACGGGUGCGUAACGCGUAUGCAACUUGCCUCACAGAGGGGGAUAACCCGUCGAAAGACGGACUAAUACCGCGUACACUCCAUCUUGGGCAUCCAAGGUAGAGGAAAUGAAAUUCGCUGUGAGAUAGGCAUGCGUCCCAUUAGCUAGUUGGUGAGGUAACGGCUCACCAAGGCGACGAUGGGUAGGGGAACUGAGAGGUUGAACCCCCACACUGGUACUGAGACACGGACCAGACUCCUACGGGAGGCAGCAGUGAGGAAUAUUGAUCAAUGGGCGAGAGCCUGAACCAGCCAAGUCGCGUGAAGGAUGACUGUCUUAUGGAUUGUAAACUUCUUUUAUACGGGAAUAACAAGAGUCACGUGUGACUCCCUGCAUGUACCGUAUGAAUAAGCAUCGGCUAACUCCGUG